This 1044-nucleotide ribosomal RNA is filed under the name uncultured archaeon. RNAcentral's name for it is "bacterial SSU rRNA". It matches the Rfam family "Archaeal small subunit ribosomal RNA", at positions 1 to 1054 of the family's 1478-position model. The record is from RNAcentral.
UCCGGUUGAUCCUGGCAGAGGCCACUGCUAUCGGAGUUCGAUUAAGCCAUGCGAGUCGAGAGGUGUAAGACCUCGGCAUACUGCUCAGUAACACGUGGACAACCUACCCUGAGGAGGGGGAUAACCCCGGGAAACUGGGGAUAAUACCCCAUAGGCUAUGGAUGCUGGAAUGCUCUGUAGUUAAAAAGGUCCGCCGCCUCAGGAUGGGUCUGCGGCCGAUUAGGUUGUUGUUGGGGUAACGGCCCAACAAGCCUGUAAUCGGUACGGGUUGUGGGAGCAAGAGCCCGGAGAUGGAUUCUGAGACACGAAUCCAGGCCCUACGGGGCGCAGCAGGCGCGAAAACUUUACAAUGCGAGCAAUCGUGAUAAGGGAACUCCGAGUGCCCGUAAAAUCGGGCUGUCCGCCAGUGUAAAUAACUGGUGAAGAAAGGGCCGGGCAAGACCGGUGCCAGCCGCCGCGGUAAUACCGGCGGCUCGAGUGGUGGCCACUAUUACUGGGCUUAAAGCGUUCGUAGCUGGUCUGUUAAGUCUCUGGGGAAAUCUUCCGGCUUAACCGGAAGGCGUCUCAGGGAUACUGGCAGACUAGGGACCGGAAGAGGUGAGAGGUACUCCAGGGGUAGGAGUGAAAUCCUGUAAUCCUUGGGGGACCACCUGUGGCGAAGGCGUCUCACCAGAACGGCUCCGACAGUGAGGAACGAAAGCUGGGGGAGCAAACCGGAUUAGAUACCCGGGUAGUCCCAGCUGUAAACGAUGCGCGUUAGGUGUAUCGGUGACCACGAGUCACCGAGGUGCCGAAGAGAAAUCGUGAAACGUGCCGCCUGGGAAGUACGGUCGCAAGGCUGAAACUUAAAGGAAUUGGCGGGGGAGCGCCACAACGGGUGGAGCCUGCGGUUUAAUCGGACUCAACGCCGGGAAACUCACCGGACAAGACAGCUGAAUGAUUGCCGGGCUGAAGACUCUGCAUGACUAGCUGAGAGGAGGUGCAUGGCCGUCGUCAGUUCGUACUGUGAAGCAUCCUGUUAAGUCAGGCAACGAGCGAGACCCA